RNAcentral lists this long non-coding RNA (213 nucleotides) under Cicer arietinum (chickpea). RNAcentral describes it as "long non-coding RNA (CARI_LNC000922)". Lineage: Eukaryota; Viridiplantae; Streptophyta; Magnoliopsida; Fabales; Fabaceae. The record is from RNAcentral.
UUUUUUAUUAAAUUUUUCACAACAGGCUUCCAAAACCGGAGAAAAAACUACGGCCGCUGCCUAAACUGGCAACCAGAGAAUUAAUACUAUGUGAAAAUUGUUACAAUACAUAGACUUCUCUCACUCACAACCCAGACACCCCAGUACAACCACACUCUUACAAAGCAAAUAUUUAAACUAAGUCAGAUACAAGCUUAAAGUGCUAUUGCUGAC